Prionailurus viverrinus (fishing cat) is the source of this 2256-nucleotide long non-coding RNA. RefSeq lists it as uncharacterized. The record is from RefSeq and is a predicted model, not a curated record. Lineage: Eukaryota; Metazoa; Chordata; Mammalia; Carnivora; Felidae. The transcript has 6 exons.
CCCUGCAUGGCACGGUUAAUGGCAGCUACCUGCAAACCAAGGAGAGCAGUCUCAGAAGAAUUCAAACUUGUUAACAUCCUGAUCUUGGACAAUUAGCCUCCGGAAUGGUAAGAAAAUAUAUUUCUUUUGUUUAAGCUGCACAGUCUAUGGUAUUUUGUUAUGGCAGCAAAAGGGUUCUACACUCAGUUAUUGUGUGUGUGCACGUGUGUGUGUGUGUGUGUGUGUGUGUGUGUGUGUGUGUGUGUUGAUUUCCCACACCACCAAUAAUUUUCUGACAACAGCUGGGUGCCCUAUUCAACUCAAUUCUGACAACUAUCUACCUAAUGCUAGCAUCAUAUUCCACAGGGUAAGGGCUCAGUUCUGCAAGACUGCCCUCCUCCCCCAUGCUCCUCUCAGAUGCCAAUUGUAAGCCCAUGUUAUCAUCUGGGUUUCUGACUACAGAUUAGAGAUUUCCAAGACCCUCUCCUCAGGUUAAUUUGCUAGGGAAGCUCACAGAACUUAGAGAAAGACUUUACUUACUAGAUCACCAGAUUAUUAUAAAGCAAUAGAUCUCAGGAACAGACAGAUGGAAGAGAUGCAUAGAGCAAGACUUGGGAAAAGGAUGUGGAGCUACCAUGCUUUGCCACUCUCCUCUGAUCUCCUCAUGUUCACCCACCUGAAAGCUCUCCAAAUACCACCCUUUUAGGUUCUUAUGGAGGUUUUAUUAUAUAGGCAUGCUUGAUUAAAUCAUCAGCUGUUAGUGACUGGACUCACUCUCCAGCCCCUCUCUUCCCAGUAUGUUUGUUUAAGGGUGGAGUGGAACUGAAAGUUUCAACAGUCUAUAAUCACAGGUUGGCUCUCCUGGAAACCAGCCCUCAUCCUUAGGUUUGUUGCAAAAGUCACUUCAUUGGCAACAGAAACAUGUUUAUUGUUUCCAUUCCUUAGGAAAUCCUAAUGGUUUUAGGAGCUCUGUGCUGGAAGGAUGUCAAAAAGUAAACAUAUAUUUCUUCCUAUAAUCGCAAUAUCACACAGCCCUAGCAAGUUAAUUUACCCAUUGAACACUGGUAAUCUCACUUCUCACUUCAUCUGUGUUCUCACCCUUCAUCUAUGUUGGCUGGCUCAUCUUCCAUUUACUUCACAUUUUAUCUAAACUUAUUUUAUUUCCCUUAAUGUCAACUUCUUCCUUAAUUAUUUUCUAAAAGUCCAUAGUCACCUCCAAACAGAUCACUUUGAAAUCUAUAUAUUUAUUUCCACAGCUCAUAUAAAAUAUGUCUCCUUGUUCUGUUAUCAGCUGCACAGCUUCACCUCAGUGAUACACCAGCCCGAUUCUGUAUACACAAAAUUAGACUUGUCUCCGUAUGUUCAAGGCAUUGUGUACUUUUUGUAUCCUUGUCUAUUAUAUACAUGGCCCAUAUCCUAUUUAUGGUGCCACGGUUUUCUCUCAUUUUAAUCACUGAAACUCCUGUAUUUAUCCCUCUGCAGCAUCUCUCAAUUUAUUUCCUUUUCCAUGUUGCUAUCACUGGAGUUCAGGUCAUGAUACUAAUGGAAAACUUCAGCCUCUCUAGCUGAAUUGAAGCCCUCUGUAUUCUACCCCCAAGAAACAGCAGCGCUGAUGGAGGUCUGGUGAAGAAUAUUAUUAGGUCAUGGCGCUGAGAGGCUUCCAAAUUUCCUCACUUUCAUUGCUUCACCUGUGCUGUGAAGAAAAGCUGUAACUUUUGCUAUGUUCCUAAGAGAAGGUAUGCAUGCUCUCACUAAUGUGACAGGUGACCAACAGGCCACACUUUCUCUUUUUCCAGUAUGCUCCUGAGUUCAUCUUUCUUUUAAAGCAGUGCUGACCAAGUUGAGGUAUUACACAUAAUCAACUAGCAUGUGGUUUGCACAUUUUUUUUUGCACUGGAAGAAUGUGGACAUGAAUUGCUGACUAUCUCAGUGUGUAAAAUCCUCAACAUAUAAAUCUACGUAAAGUGCAAUCAUCAAAUCACGGUGUACUGCAUUGCUGCAGGAGCUGUAUAUACGGACGUGAAGCACAUAUUAGUGCCAGGGGCAGUCAAGUACAAAGAGCACUAUAACACAGAGAGUACUCAGUGCUAUAAUAGAACAAAGAGCAAAGUCAUCCAGGAACAACACAUGAUGAAGAAACCAAGAGCAGAAUGGUUAAGUACCUUACAACCCCCCAUUUAAAUUACAGAUGAAGAAAACUUCUAAAAGCUAAGAAAGUCACUCAAACCAAUAAACAAAACAGAAUUAAGAUUCACAUCCAUGUGUUCUUGAGUCCAU